RNAcentral lists this ribosomal RNA (428 nucleotides) under uncultured Eubacterium sp. RNAcentral's name for it is "bacterial SSU rRNA". It matches the Rfam family "Bacterial small subunit ribosomal RNA", at positions 355 to 794 of the family's 1533-position model. The record is from RNAcentral. Lineage: Bacteria; Bacillati; Bacillota; Clostridia; Eubacteriales; Eubacteriaceae.
UGGGGAAUAUUGCACAAUGGGGCGCAAGCCUGAUGCAGCAACGCCGCGUGAGGGAAGACGGUCUUCGGAUUGUAAACCUUUGUCUUUGGUGAAGAAGAAAGUGACGGUAGCCAAGGAGGAAGCCACGGCUAACUACGUGCCAGCAGCCGCGGUAAUACGUAGGUGGCAAGCGUUGUCCGGAAUUACUGGGUGUAAAGGGAGCGCAGGCGGGACAGCAAGUUGGAUGUGAAAAUACCGGGGCUUAACCACGGAGCUGCAUCCAAAACUAGUUGUUCUUGAGUGAAGUAGAGGUAGGCGGAAUUCCGAGUGUAGCGGUGAAAUGCGUAGAUAUUCGGAGGAACACCAGUGGCGAAGGCGGCCUACUGGGCUUUAACUGACGCUGAGGCUCGAAAGUGUGGGGAGCAAACAGGAUUAGAUACCCUGGUAGU